Long non-coding RNA from Suricata suricatta (meerkat), 911 nucleotides. RefSeq lists it as uncharacterized. Lineage: Eukaryota; Metazoa; Chordata; Mammalia; Carnivora; Herpestidae. The transcript is spliced from 7 exons. The record is from RefSeq and is a predicted model, not a curated record.
GCCGCCCUCCUUGCCACCGUCACCCUCCAUACCCACGACCCGCGCCAGCUAACGCCGGACCCGAGACUGCGGGAGGGCGGGCGACAGCGACUCAGCAAGUCUACACCAGUUUCCCAUCCUGAGAUUUGACUCCUCCUGCUCUUACAGGAGAGAGGGAUGAUGAGAAGGUUGGGACGCAGCUACAAAUCUCCUUAACCAGGAGAUUCUUGAGAGUUCAGCGAGAGUGGUGUUGGUCCUAAAUUCAAUGACCAGUGUCCUUAUAAGCGGCAGACUAGGAGAAGACCCAAACUAUAGAGAAGGCCAUGGCCAUGAGAAAACAGAGAUAAAAGAAGCCACACGCCAAGGAAUGUCUAAGCCACCAGAAGCUAGAAGGGGUUACAGCCCACUCCCAUAAGAUAUGACACAACUUUCAAAAUCCUGAAGUCCCCACACCUGCACAGCUGGGACAAGAUUGGGAUCUUCCCAUUAUCGAGGAUGACGGCAGAAUUAUUCUGAAUUGUUGAAUCCAGAUGGUCUCCAAGCGUCCAAUCCCAACACAGAAGUCCGUUUUUUAUGUGUUCUACACCGCUGGUAUGACCCAUACCAGGAGCCCCAGUGUAACCAAGAGCAUGGGACAUCACCCUGUGGCAUGACCUCCGUGAACUGGCCACAGAAUCUGAAGGUUUUUCACCUGCUUAAAGGCCAGACCCUUUCUGCCCUGCGAGAAUUGCCCAGGCGAGAAGGCCUCCUUGUUCUCAUGACCCAUCAGGCUUCAGAGUCUGCUUUUCAUCAUUCCGCCGCCCUGCCUCUCACAAAUCAGCAGACAUGGCACUUGCUUGCGUUAAACCACUGCUGGUGCUGGUACAUAGUGACUUUUCUGUACUUGAGUCCUAUUCAAGAUAUAACUUAUAUAAAACAACUACCUUAUGGUG